GUCUUUCUAAUAUUAAGCAGUAUAAGUGACUUCCAAUCACCCGGUCUUGGUUAAAGUCCAAGGAAAGAUA
RNAcentral lists this transfer RNA (70 nucleotides) under Sander canadensis (sauger). RNAcentral's name for it is "tRNA-Gly". It matches the Rfam family "tRNA". Rfam says of the family: Transfer RNA (tRNA) molecules are approximately 80 nucleotides in length. Lineage: Eukaryota; Metazoa; Chordata; Actinopteri; Perciformes; Percidae. The record is from RNAcentral.